GUGGGGAAUAUUGGACAAUGGGCGCAAGCCUGAUCCAGCCAUGCCGCGUGAGUGAUGAAGGCCCUAGGGUUGUAAAGCUCUUUCACCGGUGAAGAUAAUGACGGUAACCGGAGAAGAAGCCCCGGCUAACUUCGUGCCAGCAGCCGCGGUAAUACGAAGGGGGCUAGCGUUGUUCGGAAUUACUGGGCGUAAAGCGCACGUAGGCGGACAUUUAAGUCAGGGGUGAAAUCCCGGGGCUCAGCCCCGGAACUGCCUUUGAUACUGGGUGUCUGGAGUAUGGAAGAGGUAAGUGGAAUUCCGAGUGUAGAGGUGAAAUUCGUAGAUAUUCGGAGGAACACCAGUGGCGAAGGCGGCUUACUGGUCCAUUACUGACGCUGAGGUGCGAAAGCGUGGGGAGCAAACAGGAUUAGAUACCCGGGUAGUCC
Molecule: ribosomal RNA, 425 nt
Filed under: uncultured bacterium
Lineage: Bacteria
Description: partial 16S ribosomal RNA
Rfam family: Bacterial small subunit ribosomal RNA
Source: RNAcentral